AGAGUUUGAUCCUGGCUCAGGAUGAACGCUGGCGGCGAGCUUAACACAUGCAAGUCGAACAAGCAGCCAGCAGUGCUUGCACAGCUGGUGGGCGAGUGGCGAACGGGUGCGUAACACGUAGGAACCUGCCCUGGAGAGGGGGACAACGGCCGAGAAACGGGCGCUAAUCCCGCAUAGUCUCGCACUUCGGUGCGAGUAAAACUCAGGUGCUCCGGGAGGGGUUUGCGGCCUAUCAGGUAGUUGGUGGGGUAAAGGCUCACCAAGCCGAUGACGGGUAGGGGGCGUGAGAGCGUGGCCCCCCACACGGGAACUGAGACACGGUCCCGACGCCUACGGGCGGCAGCAGUGAGGAAUCUUGCCCAAUGGGGGAACCCUGAGGCAGCGACGCCGCGUGCGGGAUGAAGGCCUUCGGGUUGUAAACCGCUUUUCUGGGGGACGAGGAAGGACGGUACCCCAGGAAUAAGUCCCGGCUAACUACGUGCCAGCAGCCGCGGUAAAACGUAGGGGGCGAGCGUUAUCCGGAAUUACUGGGCGUAAAGGGCGUCUAGGCGGCAGCCUAAGUCUCGCGUGAAAGCUCCCGGCUCAACUGGGAGAGGGCGCGGGAAACUGGGCAGCUAGAGACUCGGAGGGGGGUGUGGAAUUCCCGGUGGAGUGGUGAUAUGCGUUGAGAUCGGGAGGAACACCAGUGGCGAAGGCGGCACCCUGGCCGAGGUCUGACGCUGAAGCGCGACAGCGUGGGGAGCAAACGGGAUUAGAUACCCCGGUAGUCCACGCCGUAAACGAUGACAACUAGGUGUCGGGGGUCCAAGGACGUUCGGUGCCGCAGCUAACGCGAUAAGUUGUCCGCCUGGGGAGUACGGCCGCAAGGCUAAACUCAAAGGAAUUGACGGGGGCC
Molecule: ribosomal RNA, 895 nt
Filed under: uncultured bacterium
Lineage: Bacteria
Description: bacterial SSU rRNA
Rfam family: Bacterial small subunit ribosomal RNA
Source: RNAcentral